GACGAACGCUGGCGGCGUGCCUAAUACAUGCAAGUCGAGCGGAUGGAAGGAAGCUUGCUUCCUAAAGUCAGCGGCGGACGGGUGAGUAACACGUGGGCAACCUGCCCCUAAGAUCGGGAUAACUUCGGGAAACCGGAGCUAAUACCGGAUAUGAUUAUGUCUCACAUGAGACAUAAUGGAAAGACGGUUUCGGCUGUCACUUAGGGAUGGGCCCGCGGCGCAUUAGCUAGUUGGUGAGGUAACGGCUCACCAAGGCGACGAUGCGUAGCCGACCUGAGAGGGUGAUCGGCCACACUGGGACUGAGACACGGCCCAGACUCCUACGGGAGGCAGCAGUAGGGAAUCUUCCGCAAUGGACGAAAGUCUGACGGAGCAACGCCGCGUGAGUGAAGAAGGUUUUCGGAUCGUAAAACUCUGUCGUUAGGGAAGAACAAGUACCAUAGUAACUGAUGGUACCUUGACGGUACCUAACCAGAAAGCCACGGCUAACUACGUGCCAGCAGCCGCGGUAA
RNAcentral lists this ribosomal RNA (512 nucleotides) under uncultured bacterium. RNAcentral's name for it is "partial 16S ribosomal RNA". It matches the Rfam family "Bacterial small subunit ribosomal RNA", at positions 28 to 523 of the family's 1533-position model. The record is from RNAcentral.